ACCACGAACAUGGACAGCGAGCUGAGCUGAGAUAUUACGGAUAUUACCGGAGCUCAUUCAUGCGUACCAAUUCAGUGGCGGUUUCAGUCUAGAAACAGAUUGAAUCAACAGUUUUCACUCAUUCCUCUCAGAUGAAUGAGAGUAAACUGGUUCUUAUCCAGUGGGACGAAAUGGGAUAACUGUGAUGCAACUGUGAUGCUCGGUGACAAUCAGGUGUGAAUCCUGUAAGGUGCCAUGCCAUGGAAUAUUGUGUUGGUAGAGGCAAGGUGCUUUAUAACAUAACGUCAUCAGUAGAGGUAGAAGCACGUUCUGAAGACAGUUAAAGUGAUAUGGAGACAUAUUCAGAUAUAGACAACAUACAACUGGCAGUACUAAAAGGAGACAAAAAGGUCCUUCCUGAAAGAUUGAUCUUUUUCCUCAGAGGUCCUUCUGGAGAGAGUACUCAGUGUAACGUCAACACUUGCAGCAGACCCUGAUUCAAGAGAGGCAGCUUCUUCUCAAAGAGAGGUCAGAGCCUCAACAUCUGCAAUGGAGCGAGGAUCAAUGCAAGCAUCUCCUCAGACAGGGCUCACUUUCAUAUUCUUUAAUUUGAUUUUGAUAAAGUUAUAUUAAUUUAGAAUUAAAGUAGGAGAGGCAGAGGCUAGAGUGCAAGUAAUCUACUUCAGACUUUUUCUAAAACCUUUCUCCCUCGUUUACCUUAAAAGUGAAUUUGUGUUGAAAAUAUGAGCUGUUGGUUUCAGAAACUUGUCUGAAAGAGCUAAUUAACCCUAAAACUGCCAGGGAGGGGGGGGGGGGGGGGGGGCUCCCCCUCCGACAUUUUCCGCGACCAUUCCACUGUGCGAAAUGGACACCGCAACUUCAUGGCACACCAGUGAAACAGAGGCGUGGUCAUAAUUGGCCUGCACGCACAGCGAAAAAAAAAUUUGCAAAUAAGUAUAUUGUCACUAAUUAGCAUAAUGUGCGAAGUGAUUGAAUAUGAAAUGAAUUCAGAGCUGCGUCUUUGGUAAAUAAUAAGGUAGAUUAUGUCAUUCAUUCCCCCGUUCAUCCCCCAGGUAUUCAGUUGUUUAUUUAUCUUUUCUUGUUUACAUAUUCUUAAUUAUUAUCUGUCGUGAAUUUCGUGAUUAAUUAUAACUACAUCAAUUAAUACAAUUAUUUAUUUGCUAGCUAUUUCCCUGGAAGACAUAUGGAAGCUGUCAAGGGAUUCAUUAAUAGGAUUGAACUUAGGGAUCUGCUUGCUCUAUUCAUGAGGUGUUCAUUAUACAUGAAUAGCCAUAAUUAUUUAUGGGUUUGAUUUUUUUUUUUUGGGGGGGGGUAAAUACUUCAAAUGAUCAGAGAAAUCUGAGCAAGAGAGCAAUUAAAGCAAUCAGAAGGUCAUUUUGUCUUUAUUUUGAAAUUGAAAUUAACAAUCUGGUGCAAAUCCUAUGAAGAUUUAAACAAAAAAACACAUUUUCUAAUUUUGGAUGGGAGAAAAAGACAGCCCAGUACCCCCCCCCCCCCUCCCAGCAUGAAUUCGCUCUCAACAAGGCUAUCUUAUAAAUGUCACUUCCAAACAAAAUAAAAUUUUUGUACCUGCCCACCCCUUAAAUCUCUCUAUCGAUCCCACCCCCUCUCUCUCUUCCACACACACCACAUAAUCAUGCGAGCAAACAAUUAUUCUCAUAUCAUUUUUAUUUCUAUCCCACUCUUAAAUCAAACUCAUUUAUAGGAAGAAUAUUUAAUUUGGCUGUUCCUGAUCUUAAAAUUUCACAGUAUACCGUGUUGCAAUAUCUUUUAUGGGCUUUCUUGCCAUGCAUGGUAUUUGAUACUUUGUUAUACUAUUACCUGUUGUACUAGUAUUUAUACCCAUAGAUUCCUGACAAACAAAAUCAAUCAUUAGCACCAUCACAUUCCAGUCAUAUAGAAGUAUUCUUCAUUAUCAUUACCAUCAUCUAAAUAGUGCCAUUUCAUCACAACACAGUAUUGUAGUAAUAACAUCAUCAUCACAUAUGUUUCACCCAAUAUGAAUUGGUGGAUUAAAUAAAUCUUGAAUAUCAAGAUUAGAAAGUAUAUUUCAAAUUAAAAUGUUUAUUAAGGAAUCAAUUUUUGAAUAUGUGAUAAAAAUAAUCCUUUCCUUUAUUUCUCGCCAAAGCAUCACAUUACAUCAGCAAAAUGCAUAUAAUGAAUGCAACAGAAAUUGCAAGGCUGUUACAAGGGAGGGGAUGUAAUUUUUUUGGUAAAAUCUAGAGAUAAAAAUAGAAAAAAGUAUGUUUAUUCACUUUCAUAGGUAUUGAUAAGCCUUUAAUAUGUUAAUAUAAGGGGGCAUCAAGGAUGUCAUUAAAAAAGAUUAACGAUAUACCUCUCAAAGUCGGUUACUCAAACGUCAAGACAUUUUUUUCAGCAUAAACUGACAAUAGCAUGCUAAUCUAACAGGGGGCACUUCACAAAAAGGGGAGCACAUUGCCACAUUUCUCUAAAGGGUACCUUCCCAAAUCUGCACAUUAGUGAAAUCAGUAACAAAAUUGCUUAUUGUCUAUUGUUGUGAAGUGCUGCCAGAGCUGUGUUCUAUUUCCAACAAUUUUUUUUUAUUUGCAGAGUUAAUUUAGUUCAUAAUAUGGGACAUGGACAAUACAGUGUUACAAGAACAAAAAGAGAUUAAAAAAACGAACAAAACAGUGCAACUUUUCAUUUCCCCCCAAAAUAAAUUCAACAGCUUAAUUUCCAGCACUACAGGUCCUUGUUUCAUAAAGACUUCAAUUAUGGUAAAUUUGCGCCAAUUGUAACUAGCAACUAGCAUGGGAACCUCAAUAUUGAUCUGCUUUAAUGUUUCCAUGGUAAUUACCAGAAUGGCAAAGUUAGAGUAGUGGUUAGUCUUAAUGAAAUGGAGUCCAGGAGUGAGAGUGAUUUCUUAAUCCUUUGUUCUGUCACCUUGUUUUUUUAGAAUGCAAAUUUUUCAAUGAAAAUCCACAUUUCUUAUUACUUUUAUUACUUUACUUUUACUUUUAUCCAACGAUGCUUGUAGGACUAUGCCUGUUCAUCGAUCCAAGGGAAUAAACAGUAUGCUCCACACUUUCAGUUUCAAUUCUCGCUAUCCCAAAUAGGAACAAAAAUCUCAUAAUGCGCGAGACGAGAUAAUUUUCACUCCGUCGCGAUACUGAGUUUUCCACCACGCUGAAAUCGAUGCCAAUCAGCAUAAUAUGUACAGAGUAUAAUACUUUUUAUUACAUUUGGUCAGUUUUGAUUCCAUUUAAAUUAUAAAUAAAAAUAAAAAAUAUAUUUCACGUGAAAAUAAUUUUUAUUCAUGUUUUUAUUUGGUUAUAAAAAAUCAAACAAAUAAUGAAUAUCUUAAAAUUUUGCAUUUAGCGACCGGUCUGACAUCACGAUCGUAUUCAACUAGACGCUAAAUAUAUACAGCAUUCAUUUCGUUCAAUUUUUCGUCGACCACAAAAUGGAUAAAAAUCAGUUUCGGAACUUAAAAAAAUCUUAACUGACAGAUGAAUACCGUGCAAUGGAAAUCGUCGGGCAGAAUUAGUGACUUUAGCAGAAAAGGCUGUAAAACUGUUAAACUGUAUCGUGAAAGAGAGGGUUGUGAUCACGAACUUUCCGAGCGAAAGCGACGUUGUGUUGUUGUGCAUGACGGCACUGUUGAUCUGAAUGGCAAAGCAGUGCAUUGGACUUCCGAACAGGAAGUUGUAAUACCGAAAAAGCUAUCCCAUAAUGCAAUGCACGUUACAGGGAUUUUCCCGGAUCUCGGCGAAAUCGCUAUUUGGGGUAGCGAGAAUUAGUUGCAUGUGGCAAGUAGUAGCAUGUGGCAAGAAGUUGCACAUGGCAAGUAGUUACAUGUGGCAAGAUACAAUAUUCAUUACUCAAAGUCGUAAACAAAAGCAAUAUCCUUCCAGUGAUUAUCAAGCCGAUUCUUAAAGGAAUUUACAGAAGGUGCUGAAACCACAUUUUCAGGUAGACUGUUCCAAGAACUAAUAACUCGAUUUGAAAAGAAGAACUUCCUUACAUCAAGCCUUGCAUACUGCUUCUCAAGUUUCUGGGAAUGGCCUCUAGUCCUCCCUUCCUUACUUUGUACAAGCAGAUCUAUGCUAGUGUCAUAGAUACCAUGCAUAAACUUAUAAACAUCUAUCAUAUCUCCUCUUCUAUGUCUAUGUAGAAGAGAUGGUAUUUUCAGGUGUUGCAGUCGCUGUGAAUAGGACAAGUUCCUCAGUCCAGGGAUUAGCUUGGUAGCUCUUCGCUGCACACUCUCUAGCCGUUUCUGAUCGCCUAUUCUAAAAGGUGACCAAACUGAAUGGCCAUAUUCCAAUAACGGUCUUAUUAGACCCUUAAACAUAAGCUUCACUGUAUCUUCAUCCAAAUUUACAAAAGACCUCCUCAUUAAACCCAGCAAUUUAUUUGAUUUAGAGACAGCUUGUGAGAUAUGGUCUUUGAAGGUGAGUCGUCAAUCAACUAGUACACCCAAGUCCCUUUCUACCUGACUUUCACUAAGAAGUACAGAAUCAUCUUCUUUGCCCAUACGAUAUUCAUAUGCAGACUGCAUACAACCAACUUUCAGAACAGUACACUUGUCUGGGUGGAAGCAAAGUUGCCAUUUCUCAACCCAGCUUUCUAACAGUGACAGGUCAUUUUGAAGUUGCUGACAAGAUCCAGGUAGAUCCGAGCGGGCAUAAAGCUUUGUAUCAUCCGCAAAAAGCUUGAUAUUUGAUUGCACUGUAUUGGGAAGAUCAUUAAUGUAUGCCAGGAACAGACAGGGACCAAGCACACUACCCUGAGGAAUACCACUUGGGACUUCACACCAGUUAGACUCCUGACCAUUAACAUAAACAUGUUGCUUUCGUCCAAGAAGAAAGGCCUUAAUCCAUGCAUGGACAUGUCCUCGAAUACCAUAAGCCUCUAGCUUUGUCAGUAAUCUUUGGUGUGGCACAGAAUCAAAAGCCUUCAUAAAAUCCAUGUAGAUGGCAUCAAUUGUGCCGCCAUCAUCUAAUACUCGAGUCCAUUCAUCAAUGACUUCCAACAGAUGUGUGGUACAUGACUUGCCCACAACAAAUCCAUGUUGAUGAGUAGAAAGAAGUGCAUUUCUAUAGAAAUGUUCCAUGAAAACUUUCCUUAUCAAAGAUUCAAGUACCUUACAGACAAUACAUGUCAAACUAACUGGCCUAUAAUUCUUACUAUGACUUUUACCCCCCUUCUUAAAAAUGGGUGUAACAUUUGCAGAUCUCCAAUCUAAUGGAAAUUCACCUCUCUAUAAGCUUGUCUGGAAUAUCAUAGCAAGUGGAACUGAAAGCACGUCAGCCAACUCGUGAAGAAAGCGAGGAUGUAACUUAUCAGGGCCAGGAGACUUGCUUAGGUUGAGCUUCCGUAGGAGCUAUGAAACGUCUCUUGAAGUGAUUUCUAGAUUUCCUAAAGCAGAAUCAUAGAACACAGCUGGGGGAACAGGCAAGGAUUCCACAUCUUCCUGAGUGAACAC
This is a long non-coding RNA of Lytechinus pictus (painted urchin), 5446 nucleotides long. RefSeq lists it as uncharacterized. The record is from RefSeq and is a predicted model, not a curated record. Lineage: Eukaryota; Metazoa; Echinodermata; Echinoidea; Temnopleuroida; Toxopneustidae. The transcript is spliced from 4 exons.